AAUUCAUGUUACAUUUCCAUCAAAUAUGUUUUGGGUUGUUUUUAUUAAGAUCAAUCAACUCAUGUGUAUAGUAAAGCAACAUAAAUGCUAAUUUAACUCUUCUCAGGCCAAUGUUAUUGACAUUACUGCUUGGUUAAUUGGAAUACACAGCUGUGGAUUCUGAGUUACGCACAAGUUCCAUCAAUCAGUGUACUGGACUGCAUGGAAAAUGGAAGGCUCUGUCCAUUUCACGAAUUGGUUCUACCUUUCUUCUUCUCCCACUUCUCACAAAGUGACCUCAAUGGGGUAGCUGUUUCUCCACUCCAAGGAAAUUGAUUCAAGAUGGUGAAGCCUGAUCAUUUCAGACUUAUUGACAGAGACAUUUUGUGAGUAGUUUUGAUUAUUUUAUUGGUUCUGCAUUGCCUGCUCAGAAUUU
RNAcentral lists this long non-coding RNA (415 nucleotides) under Fukomys damarensis (Damara mole-rat). RNAcentral's name for it is "lncRNA (ENSFDAG00000029714.1)". The record is from RNAcentral. Lineage: Eukaryota; Metazoa; Chordata; Mammalia; Rodentia; Bathyergidae.